Molecule: small nucleolar RNA, 138 nt
Filed under: Drosophila ananassae
Lineage: Eukaryota; Metazoa; Arthropoda; Insecta; Diptera; Drosophilidae
Description: snoRNA:GF26030
Source: RNAcentral
GGCGCUAUAGACACAGGUUCGGUGGAUCUUCCCACCCCGAACACUGUUUAUAAAUGGCGCCAGAAGAAUGUCGAUCACUGAACCAUUGGUGUUGCUGUAAACUACUGGCCACACUUCACUGAUUUGUGACCCACACUU